Long non-coding RNA from Drosophila simulans, 1672 nucleotides. RefSeq lists it as uncharacterized. Lineage: Eukaryota; Metazoa; Arthropoda; Insecta; Diptera; Drosophilidae. The transcript is spliced from 2 exons. The record is from RefSeq and is a predicted model, not a curated record.
AAAUACAAAAUAAACGUAUAUAUGUAAAGUCGAUGUUUCCUAAAAUAAUUUAUAAAAUUAUUUACACCUGAAAAAUAAAAUAAAAAACAUUUAUAUAUUAUUUAAAAAAAAACAAACAAAACAAAUCAAGAAAUAAUAAUCAGGCAUACUCCGGUAAUCGUAAUUUCUUUCCGAAUUCGAUUUGGUCUGAAUCUUUCGAUUUCGCAAAAGUUUUGCUAUCGGAAUGUUUUCUAAACAGUAAACAGCUGCUUUUCAGCGGCCACCUUUUUCACAGUUUUAGUUCCGAUGUUCGCAAGUAUUUUUUUACUGCAUUACUUACGAACAACACUUUUGGCCCUCUUUUAAUUUAAAAUAGUGAAUUCUUUUAUAUAUUAGUAGCAUUAUCACCUGCAUGUUUCACUUCACCAACAGUGGCAGCCUUUGGGGUAACUUUUGUGAACGUACGUGCCAAUCGAAAUUGUUGCCGACGGCAAAAUUUUGUUUAAAAAAUUUUUGGUGAAAUAAAAUUGUAUAUUAAAUAACUAAUAAAUAAACAUCAUUAGACCACUGAGUAAACUAUUUUUUCCCUUAGUAAUAUAAAAAAUGGGCAUAUACUUUUCAUUUCGGCCAGACAAAAGUGCGCGUUUUACAAAGCGAAAAAUUCUUACGAAUUCGAAAACCGGAGCACCGAUCGAUUACCGAAGCAUGCCCGAUAGAUUGAUUUUGAAAUUUUUUGGAGGUGUACGCAGAGUUAUACAAGGAAUGUAUAACGUUGGUAAAAUAUUCUGCCAGCGGUCUAACGAAAUGCACGCAAUAAGUUUUCGGUCGACUUCGGGAAUGGUCUUCGUGCAUAAAUGUCCAGAAAAAUAAGCGCAGCGUUAGGUCCCACACAAUGUCAUGUUCUAUCAAAAUCUAUCCAAGUUUAGAGUUAAAUAGCUAUUUGUAUGGACAUAGUCCCUUUUUUUUUAAUAUACAGAAGUUUUGGUGUUGGUCUAAGAGUGCGGCACUCAGUUUCUAUGUGCCGUCCUGUUAAAUUGAAGUGUAGGAAAAUCUAAAGACCUGGGAAGUGUGAAACAGAAAGAAGAAAGCUUUUCCGACCCUAUAAAGUAUAUAUACGCUUGAUCAGUAUCACUAGCCGAGUCAAACUGGCCAGUGCCACGCCUACACCUUUCCCAUCAUUUCCCAUCGACAAUUUUUAUUUCCAGAAGUUUGAUAACAACAUAAUGGUCCAAUGUUGCCGACUGGAUAACUCCAUUUAUUGGACUCCGCCACAGAGUUGGUUGUAAGGGAUACCACCUGUUGAGCUUGUUGCGGACGAAAAGAAUGCAAUUGUGAUUUUAAAAAUACUGGAAAGUCAACAUGCUGCUGAAUUUGCAAGCUGGAUGAUAAUUCAUUAGCAGCUAAGCCCUUUAUACGCGAUUUCUCACUAACACAUUUUGAUAAUGUCCUCUUGGAAAGACAUCGAUCCUUUUGAAGCUUAUCUUUUUUUCGUCGAGCUAAAAUUUUUAAAUGUCCAUUUAUUCCUUUUGCGUCCUGAAAAGAAAGAUUUAAAAAAUAAUAUGUUGUAAACACAAUGUACACAAUUAUAUACCCCUUGCAGUCCAACUUAUCAUUUUUGUCAUACGUUAUUAAGCGUAAGUACUUGUUACUCAUUGGUUGGCUUUCUAAAUAAAUAUAUAUAAGCUUAAAUAAA